UUGGUAUAGUACAAAAUGCUUUUAGUAUCCAUAAUCAUUGAUAUAAAUAAAUUAUAGAGCCUUUUGGAGAUCCAUAUGAGGAAUGAAAUGUAGAUCCUUUUUUGGCAUGAUCCUUGAUAACUCUUUAUCCUAGAGAAAUACAGUCGUCAGAUACUGGCUCCAUUUCUGACCUUGAACAGUGAGUGAUAACAAUGGACAACUUUGUAAAGCCAUUUGAAAUUUGUGGAUGAAAGCUUUAAGAUGUUAAUAAUUUUAUUCAGUCUGGGUUGAAUCUGCUCUUCUCAAUAUUUAACCUUUGCUUGGGUGAUUUUAAUAGUGAAUGGAAAACGAUUGCAGUUCUAAUUAAACUACAUUUUUUAAGAUUUAUAAAACAUUUAAGUCAUUUAUUUAUUUUAUUUAGGGUCAAGUUGUUUUCAGGAAUGGAGAGAGGAUGGGAACCAUCAAAUUUACGCAGUUCCAAGGAAAAAGCUUGUUUGUUUUCAUUGUAACCCACACAUCCUAUGGAGAAGAUCAGGAGAAGGAUCUAGAUUAUUUCUCAUGCAAGCUAUAGUCCAACGAUACAUCUGAAGUCUGUCUUUUGUUCUCACUAAUUCUGGAAAAGAGAAGACUAUACUAAAAAAAGUAAGAAAUUCAAGUGUAAGGAUCAAUAGUUGAAAGUAUUCUUUUUUUAUUUUUUAAUAUAAAUUAUACUCCAGCUGUUAAAAGAUUUUUCUCUUCUUCUUUCAUGAUUACUGUGGCAGUGCUGUAAAAAAUUAUUCAUUUCCUAAAAAAAUAAAUAAAAAAUAAUAAUCUUAAAACAUUGGCUAGCUUUCCAAAGCAUUCACAUUAACUUUUCAUAAAUCAUGGGCUAAUGGGAAAGUUCCAAAUAGUGGAAAUAAGCUAAUUAAGUCCAAUACUUAGAUUGGUAAAUGGGCUUUUCCUUUGUAAUUAUAGCUGUUAGGUGCUAUCAGGCUUGAGACAGAUAAGUAUCUCAGUCAUUAGUGUUUUUUAUGAACUGUGAUACAA
Molecule: long non-coding RNA, 1005 nt
Filed under: Meleagris gallopavo (turkey)
Lineage: Eukaryota; Metazoa; Chordata; Aves; Galliformes; Phasianidae
Description: lncRNA (ENSMGAG00000019747.1)
Source: RNAcentral